RNAcentral lists this transfer RNA (71 nucleotides) under Caulobacter phage CcrBL10. RNAcentral's name for it is "tRNA-His". The record is from RNAcentral. Lineage: Duplodnaviria; Heunggongvirae; Uroviricota; Caudoviricetes; Jeanschmidtviridae.
GCUGAUCGCCGCUGGGCGGGGAGCGGGUUGUGUCCCCGCUAGGCACGGUUCGAUCCCGUGGGUCAGUACCA